Molecule: ribosomal RNA, 1445 nt
Filed under: uncultured marine bacterium
Lineage: Bacteria
Description: 16S ribosomal RNA
Rfam family: Bacterial small subunit ribosomal RNA
Source: RNAcentral
ACGCUGGCGGCACGCCUAACACAUGCAAGUCGAACGAAGUAGCAAUACUUAGUGGCAGACGGGUGAGUAACAUGUGGGUAUCUGCCCUUUGGCCUGGAAUAACACGAGGAAACUUGUGCUAAUACCGGAUAAGUCUUUACGGAGAAAGCUUUAUGCACCAUUGGAUGAGCCCGCACUUGAUUAGUUUGUUGGUAGGGUAAUGGCCUACCAAGACUGUGAUCAAUAGCUGAUUUGAGAGGAUGAUCAGCCACAUUGGGACUGAGACACGGCCCAAACUCCUACGGGAGGCAGCAGUGGGGAAUCUUGCACAAUGGAGGAAACUCUGAUGCAGCGAUGCCGCGUGAGUGAAGAAGGCCCUUGGGUUGUAAAGCUCUUUCGUCGGGGAAGAAAAUGACUGUACCUGAAUAAGAAGGUCCGGCUAACUUCGUGCCAGCAGCCGCGGUAAUACGAAGGGACCUAGCGUAGUUCGGAAUUACUGGGCUUAAAGAGUUCGUAGGUGGUUGAAAAAGUUGGUGGUGAAAUCCCAGAGCUUAACUCUGGAACUGCCAUCAAAACUUUUCAGCUAGAGUUUGAUAGAGGAAAGCAGAAUUUCUAGUGUAGAGGUGAAAUUCGUAGAUAUUAGAAAGAAUACCAAUUGCGAAGGCAGCUUUCUGGAUCAUUACUGACACUGAGGAACGAAAGCAUGGGUAGCGAAGAGGAUUAGAUACCCUCGUAGUCCAUGCCGUAAACGAUGUGUGUUAGACGUUGGAAAUUUAUUUUCAGUGUCGCAGCGAAAGCGAUAAACACACCGCCUGGGGAGUACGACCGCAAGGUUAAAACUCAAAUGAAUUGACGGGGACCCGCACAAGUAGUGGAGCAUGUGGUUUAAUUCGAAGAUACGCGCAGAACCUUACCAACACUUGACAUGUUCGUCGCGACUUUAAGAGAUUAAAGUUUUCGGUUCGGCCGGACGAAACACAGGUGCUGCAUGGCUGUCGUCAGCUCGUGUCGUGAGAUGUUGGGUUAAGUCCCGCAACGAGCGCAACCCUCACUUUUAGUUGCCAUCAUUAAGUUGGGCACUCUGAAAGAACUGCCAGUGAUAAGCUGGAGGAAGGUGGGGAUGACGUCAAGUCCUCAUGGCCCUUACGUGUUGGGCUACACACGUGCUACAAUGGUAUUUACAACAGGAAGCAAAACAGCGAUGUUAAGCAAAUCCUUAAAAGAUACCUCAGUUCGGAUUGCACUCUGCAACUCGAGUGCAUGAAGCUGGAAUUACUAGUAAUCGUGGAUCAGCGUGCCACGGUGAAUGCGUUCCCGGGUCUUGUACACACCGCCCGUCACACCAUGGGAGUUGGUUCUACCUUAAGGCAAGGUUUUAAACCCUUGACCACGGUAUAGUCAGCGACUGGGGUGAAGUCGUAACAAGGUAGCCGUAGGGGAACCUGCGGCUGGAUUACCUCCUUUCU